AGUGAACGCUGGCGGUAGGCCUAACACAUGCAAGUCGAACGGCAGCACAGGAGAGCUUGCUCUCUGGGUGGCGAGUGGCGGACGGGUGAGGAAUACAUCGGAAUCUACUUUUUCGUGGGGGAUAACGUAGGGAAACUUACGCUAAUACCGCAUACGACCUACGGGUGAAAGCAGGGGACCUUCGGGCCUUGCGCGAUUGAAUGAGCCGAUGUCGGAUUAGCUAGUUGGCGGGGUAAAGGCCCACCAAGGCGACGAUCCGUAGCUGGUCUGAGAGGAUGAUCAGCAACACUGGAACUGAGACACGGUCCAGAGUCCUACGGGAGGCAGCAGUGGGGAAUAUGGGACAAUGGGCGCAAGCCUGAUCCAGCCAUACCGCGUGGGUGAAGAAGGCCUUCGGGUUGUAAAGCCCUUUUGUUGGGAAAGAAAUCCAGCUGGCUAAUACCCGGUUGGGAUGACGGUACCCAAAGAAUAAGCACCGGCCAACUUCGUGCCAGCCGCCGCGGUAA
RNAcentral lists this ribosomal RNA (506 nucleotides) under uncultured bacterium. RNAcentral's name for it is "partial 16S ribosomal RNA". It matches the Rfam family "Bacterial small subunit ribosomal RNA", at positions 29 to 523 of the family's 1533-position model. The record is from RNAcentral.